This 8338-nucleotide long non-coding RNA is filed under the name Citrus maxima (pomelo). RNAcentral describes it as "long non-coding RNA (CMAX_LNC003090)". Lineage: Eukaryota; Viridiplantae; Streptophyta; Magnoliopsida; Sapindales; Rutaceae. The record is from RNAcentral.
AGAGAAUGGAUUAUAGACAGUCGUUUUGAUUAGUGUUGGUGAGAAGAUUAUUAUUUGCUGGAGUAGAAACUGUUUAAUAUGAUUCUUAGGCGAUAAUAGAACUAUAAUCCUCUUCUUGAUUUUAGCAAGAAACACCAAGCCUCUGAUAACUGCCUGGUUUUUGCAGAUGUACAAUGAUAUAAACCAUUCUGCUUUUGUUUGGGGAGCGUUUGUUUUAGCCGGAGUUGCUAUCAUUGCUGCUGCUGUGGGUUACUGGCGUAGGAAUAAGUACGAAGAUGGAUACCAACCAAUUAUGAUCUGAACUUGUUCUUAUGAGGCUUAGCCAUGUGUAUUAGACAGAAAUAAUGUUAGCUCUGUAUCAUAUGUUCUGAAACUCUCGUUUCCCUUUGCUAGAUGAGCGUGAAUAAACAGAUGAGCGUGAAUAAACCCGGGAGACUCACAGUCUUGCCCAAUAUUAUUUCUAUUACUGUUGUUAGUAAUUGGAACUGAGUGAUUAAUGUGAGCCUCUGUUGGACUUUAUGGCCAUUUCUUUCAUUUUCUCUACGACUCCUGUAGCUGCUUGUGUUCAACGCUAUUUUCACAUUUGUAAGGGACCUGUCCAAAAUUCAAAGCAUUAUUGGGUCGCUAUUUCCUGUGGCAGCUGCCAAGUUUGAGUAUCUUCGACUUAGAGGAACCACAUAUGUUACUUUUUUUUGAAAAAAAAAUUCAUUUCAUGUUUUUAGUCUGCAUGUGUGUUAUUUAAUAAUAAUCGUUGAAAGAACUGUUUUAAAUAUUUUACUUCAUCAUAGUUUCUCCUACAAUUAUGGAUCUCUGUUUCCUAGUUUUCCCCUUCUCAAACGAUCUAUAUACACGGUAAGCUCAAAGUAUGCAUGCUUCGUCAUAUAUUUAACACAAGUGUGCAUAUUGCAACUAAUAUUUUGGGAUGCAUCACACAAUAAUUUUACAAUAUAUCCAUCGUGCUUUGUGACAUUACCUUUGACUUUAUCAAUUGCAUUGUUACCAGAGAUAGUGCAUUAUUAACUAUGAUACUGUAAAGAAUUCAAUUUGAAAUCAAAUUAACAAUCGACAAUGAAUCAUAAUAUGGUCAAAUAAAAAAUAAAGAGAUACGUACUAGCUUUGAAAUGGGAAAAUAAAUAAUGAACGAAUGAUUUAGUUUUUUUUUUUCCAAAUUCUCUUUUAUGUUUAUUACUGUUGGGUUGCCCCUCUGGAAAAAUUCAUAGGUCCGGUUCAGAAAUGCAAAAUACAAUAGUAAUCACAUGGGGGUUUAAUGCAAAUAUGCAGUGAAGGAGGCACUAUGCAGAUUGUCAAUGAAUAAUGGGAAGAUGAAAUUUACGUAUAAAGGUGAACUAUUGGCACCCUUUGCGUAUCUUUUGAAACCCCUUUUCUUUAUCUAUCUCAUUAUAAUUAUUUGAAAAUUAUAAAACUCUCAUGGCAUCGUUUUAGUUUAAAAAAUAACCUUAAUUUCUUGUUGAGUUUACACCCCCUUCUUUCUCUUCACAUCUCUCUCCCCCUCAUUUGCUUACCAUUCUUUCCUCUCUCUUUCUCUUCCACUAUGAGUUCUCUCCGUCGUCAACUCUUUUUAUGGUGAUGAACAAAUUGGACUUUAUGACCAUAACAUUAUAAUUAUUAAUAUAUAUAUAUAUAUAUAUAAUAAUAAUAAUAAUAAUAAUAAAGAUUCAAUGAGAAUGAUGCAAUUGAUUGGUAUUCUUGAUUUUUUUUUUUUUGCUUCUUUAACUAAACUUAAAAGUUUCAUUACUAACCACAACAACAAUAUGAAAGAAAUUAGAAUGUUGCCGAAUUUAUUUUUUGUAAUUGUUUUAUUUUUCUAAAUUAAUUCGGAUGGGGACGAAGGCAAAUGGAAGAGAACAAUAAAAAUCAUUGGCUCUGAAAAUAUUUUUCUGUAGGAUGCCCUGCCUUCUGAAACCUCCUCAACGUUAAAUCUAUAUAUAUAUAUAUAUAUAUAUAUAUAUAGAGUCAGAGUUCAAAUUUUGUGCUUUAACUGCCGUUGCUUUGUGGAAGUCAUUUCUCCGCACCCCCUUCAUUUCUCCUUCGCAUAUCCACCUCCUGCCUUCAAGUGAUUUUUGUGGGACCAAAAUCUAAUUGUUUCAUUUUUUUUUAAAUUAUCCUCGUUCAAAUCAUAAUUAAUUUUUAUUAUUUUAAAUUUUAUUAUUUUUAUUAAAUUUUAUUAAUUUAGUUAUUAUUAAUUAUUGUUAUUAUUAUUUUUAUUAAUAUUAUCAUUAUUAACAAUUAUUGUUAUUAUUAUUGUCAAAAUUUAUUAAUUUUAUUAUUUUAAAUGUCAUUAUUAUUAUUAACUUUAUUAUUUUAGUUAUUAUUAAUUAUUGUUGUUAUUAUUUUAUUAAUAUUAUCAUUAUUAACAAUUAUUAUUAUUAUUAUUAUUGUUAUUGUUAUUAUCAUUAUUAUCAAAAUUUAUUAUUUUAAAUGUCAUUAUUAUUAUUAUUAUUAUUGACUUUAUUAUUUUAGUUAUUAUUAAUUGUUAUUAUUAUCAUUAUUAACAAUUUAUUAUUAUUAUUAUCAUUAUUAUUAUCAAAAUUUAUUAAAUUUAUUAUUUUAAAUGUCAUUAUAUUAUUAUUAUUAUUAUUGACUAUAUUAUUUUAGUUAUUAUUAAUUAUUUUUAUUUUUAUUAUUAUCAUUAUUAACAAUUUAUUAUUAUUAUUAUUAUUAUUAUUAUUAUUAUUAUUAUUAUUAUCAUCAUCAUCAAAAUUUAUUAAAUAUAUUAUUUUAAAUAUCAUUAUUAUUAUUAUUGACUAUAUUAUUUUAGUUAUUAUUUUUAUUUUUAUUAAUAUUAUCAUUAUUAACAUUUAUUAUUAUUAUUAAUUUUAUUUUUUUAAUUAAUAGCAUUUUUAUAAUAAUAUUUAUACAUGUAUCUAGUUGAUGAAAAUUGCAUUAUUUAAUACUAUGGAUAUUUUGGUAAAUUGAUUCUCAUUUCUAUUCCGCAUUCCCAUUUAUUUUGUCAAGUAAACACAUCAAUGACAUUCCAGCACAUUUCUAUUUCUAUUUAUUUUUGGCAAUCAAACAUUUCAUCUCAUUUUCAUUCCUCAUUCUCAUUCUAUGAAAUAAACGAACCAUUAUUUCUUAAUUUUUCAUUUCCGUCAAAUUUCUAAUUCAGUUAGUCACACAAAUAAAAUUACUUACUUGAAAAUCACUCCCAAAUGUACAAUGAACUUAUUUGUAGGAGCUGGCUGAGUUACAUAUUCUGUAACUUACAGAUCCAACUCCUAUUGCCUGCAUUUACACAGUUUUUCUCUCUCCUCAGGACACGUGUGUUGCUUCCCAUUGGGUGUGUACGUUACAGAUUCUGUAACGUAGGUUGGUCCCUUAUUUGUAAUGUUGUCUAUUAUUAUAGUUUAUCACUAUUAUUCCUAUCAAUCUGAGACUCUCCGUAGCACGCAACUCCCAACCGAUUUAUUUAAACGUGCUGCCAAACAACGACUCGCAUAAGAUAAAGGGAAGAACAAUCAAGAAUCAUCACUCCAUUAUCUAAUUUUUCAUGCCGUAGCCAGAACGCUUUACUAAGUAGCGACUUAAGGUCGAUGGAAGAACAAUCAAGCUGAUAUGACUAGUUUGUCAUUAUUGCUUUUCUUGACUACCACAAGAUCUAUAUCGAGGGAGGUGCUACCUUAAAUUUAAGGUACAGCUCUCUCUAAGAACCACUGCUGUAGGGAGAGUUGUACCUUAAGAUAAACUUAAGGUAGGCAAAACCUUUUGUCGGUGUCUCCAACUUUCAAUUUCUUCAACAUUUAGCUUUCCUGGAAGCAAUUAUACACACUCUACUGAUGCGACAAAAGGUGCCAAAAAAAAAAAAAAAAACUGCCCGUUGCGUCACUGCUUAGGUCAUUCUAAACCUUCAGUUCUCUGUCUGUAGUCUAUCACUUGGUGCAAAAUAGUCAAGUUCUCACGUUUUAGACGGCACGUUAAUCGGACACGCGGCUGAUCCUGUCCUUAACAGGCCAUUUUUAUUAGGCCACCUACCUUAUUACAAUGAAUGUAAAGUAUAUCUUCUUACAAAUUGAGUUGUAGGACUCAUUUGGACCCACAGCCAAUAAAGAGGAUGUACCUUACAAUCAUUGUAAGGUAGCAGCUCCCUAUUAUAUUAGUUACUUCAUUUGUGAAUGUAAUGAGAAAGAACUAAGGCGACGCACCCUCGCAGGAGCUGAAACUUUCAGUCUAUCACAGUCUGAAAAGGCCGUUGACCAUGCAAUCUGCGUACGUUGUUUGUUCUCAAAUUUGAUCGUUUGUUUUCAUUUUUCGUUCAUGUCAAGUUUCUGUAUUUGUACACAAUUAAAUGAUCACUCAUUCGCAGGUUUUGCUUUUACCUGACGCUCUUCAAUAGUUUUAUUCACUCUAGUAUUUGCGAUAUAUCUUUCUGCUUGAUGACCCAAGUUGCAUGUGAACGGAUUAGCUAUUCAUUUUACUUUGUUAAUCAGUCAAAUAUCAUAGACCCCAUCUGUUAUUACAGCAGUGAUUGCUAGGAACAGUUGAGAGUCUUUUCAAACUUUUCCAAACAUGUGUCCAAAUAGAUUGAGCUUGUACGUGAGAUAGCUGGAUUUUAUUUGCUUACAAACCUUUUUUGGGAUUAUUUAAAAAUUACAAUUACUGAUCUGGUUUCGGAUACACGAGAGUUUUUUGCUAUUAUCCAAUUUAUUUUGGUUGGAGCACGUUUUAACUGACACAAAGCCGGAAAUACCAGUUCAAUCUCAGUAACCUCUAUAAUUUGUCUCAAAUACAUUGUGUUUAGUUAUUCAUGUUCUUGGAUUUCCAAUUUCAUUUAUGGCUUAACUGAUAUAAGAAAGCUGACAGGGAUAUGAGAAAUUUUUCUCAAGGAUGGAAGAUUCUGGUAGCCAUUUUUCUGUUGGGAUUAAGCUUUCCAUACUCACAAGGUUAUAAUGUCAAAUCUAAAGUCUUUUUGUCACCUAAGUUUGUGCUGGGGCCAGGAUCCGUUGAGAAUAAAUUUUACUAUGGGAUUGACUUUCCGAGAGGUCAUAUUGCUCUAAAGAGUUUUAAUGCAGAAGUAAUUGAUGAGGCAGGAAAUCCCGUUCCUCUUCACGAGACUUAUCUCCACCAUUGGGCCGUUCAAAAAUACUAUGGACGUAAAGAUGCAGAAUUACUAGAGUAUAAUGGCAACAGACUUCUUCGUGAAUCAGAUUACAUUUCAGCGAGAAAUGAUGGCAUAUGCCAGACGAAUAUUCUUGAGCAGGAUUUUGGCCUUGGCUCUGAGACGCGAGGAACGGCAACGCAUAUUCCAGAUCCUUAUGGAUUAGAAAUUGGCAAUCCUGCUACAAUUCCUGCAGGCUAUGAAGAGAGAUGGUUUCUUAAUGUCCAUGCAAUUGAUACACGAGGUGUCGAAGAUAGGUUGGGAUGCACCGAAUGCAAGUGCGAUUUGUACAAUGUUACAUUGGAUGAGUAUGGCCAGCCACUAAAGCCAAAUUACAGAGGUGGUUUAGCGUGUUGUUACGAUGGUACGCAGUGUAGAUUGUCAAACGGUUUUGAAGGUGCCAGGAGGAGCCUCUAUUUGAGAUAUACCGUAAAGUGGGUUGAUUGGGACACUUCCAUUGUGCCUGUUAAAAUCUACAUAUUUGAUGUCACUGACAAGGAAACACGGUUUAGUGAUUCCACUGGAUUCAGCAUACAGCAUCAUUGCCAGGUAAGUGAAACUCUUUUUACAAAACUCUCCAAGCUGAAACAGAAAUGAAUUUUAUUUGGGACGUUCAGUGGAAUAGCCUUGGCAUUACUUUCUUCAUCUUUAUGGUUCAUUGAACUAGGUUGUUAUAUAAUCAUUUAAUGCUUGUUUUGGUGCAUUACUGGAAAAAUGGAAUUGACUCACUGAUGCAAUGAACACAAAGUUGGAAUCUGCAUAAAGCUAAUCGUAAUUUUCUGGAAAAAUUUCUUCGGGGUUAGAGUCCUCUUUGACGGCAUACUGUUUAAUAUGUGUGUAUGAAAUGACUUGCGUUGAAGAUAUUUUUUGUUUAAUGUGGAGGAGUUUUUAUUAAAUGUGCACAAAUUUAUAGACAUUCAAGAGCACAUAAGCACAAACACUUACUUCAGCCCUUAAAUUUGAUAAUCAAUAGUGUAAACGUUUUGAUUUGUGAUUUUCUUGCAACUCUUAGUGACUUAAUUUCUUCACAAAUGUGGACCCAUCGGAAUAUCUCUGAUUGCAGAUUGAAUAUUCUGUUGAGCCCUGUAAAGCCAGUGAUGUGGCUGAUAAUGGGUGUGUCCACACCAAAAGGACCAGUGUCACGAUGCCAGCCAGUGGUUACAUCAUCUAUGGCGUUGCCCAUCAGCACUCAGGGGGCAUUGGUGCAGCUCUAUAUAGAGAGGUGAUUUCAAUAUCUAAUUUGCAUUCAUGUGGCAUGCCUUUUCUUUUGUCUAUGUUCUACUUUCCAUUGUAAUUUUAUCAUUCUUAUCUGCCAGGUUGGUGGUAAACUGGUGAUGUAUGAAGACGUGUACUAGUACUUGAUCUUUUUAAUUUUCUUGUUAGAUUUUCUUUGAAAGUUAAUGUUUCUUUAGUCUGCAAAAGAAUUGUCAGCUAUGACAGAAGUUACUAUUUUUUGCACAUAAAGAAUGUUUUAAGAUUAUGUAAAUGUUUAUAACAUUAAUUAGAUGUUGAGGACAUGUGAGUGUGACAUUAUCAUAUUUCCAAAUAGACUAUUUUUGAGCUUCUAGUUGCUUGAUUUGUUUGUCAUCCUCAAAGUUUCGAUAACAUUGAUGUUUGAUAUAUAGUGUUAUGGUCCCUCAAAUUGGUUGGAUGUUUUCCCUUUUUGUUUUGAAGAACAAUUCUUCAUUACUCAUUUUAUGUAAUUUGUUCAGAACCCAUUGUGAUGAUUGUGGAAGGAAUUUGAUUCCCUAAUGUCUUCUUUCAUUGAUAUGCUUGUUUUUGGUGAAAUCAGGAUGGACAACUUAUGUGCUCUUCAAUUCCAGCUUAUGGAAAUGGGAUGGAAGCUGGAAACGAGGCUGGAUAUGUUGUAGGAAUGUCGACCUGUUAUCCUAAACCAGGCUCCCUCAGGAUAACAGAUGGGGAAACUCUGAUUGUGGAAUCUAGCUACAGUAGCUCCCGCGAACACACAGGAGUCAUGGGGUUUUUCUACAUUUUGGUUGCAGACAGGGUGCCCGAGUCCAGUUCAUUCUUAGAUGUUUUCAACAAGGUAAGAUUCCCUUUUCAUAUUUUUAGAUAGUGAGUGCAGCAAUACAAGUUAUUAUGCUUGUGAGCACAUGCGAAAAUACGGCAGAUACAAAAAACUUAUUCUAGAAUUGAGUAGGAAUAUUGUCUUGCCUCUUAGAUUAUCAAAAUGGUAUAGAGAAUGGAUUAUAGACAGUCGUUUGAUUAGUGUUGAUGAGAAGAUUAUUAUUUGCGGGAGUAGAAACUGUUUAAUAUGAUUCUUAGGCGAUAAUAGAACUAUAAUCCUCUUCGUGAUUUUAACAAGAAACACCAAGCAUUUGAUAAGUGAUAACUGCCUGGUUUUUGCAGAUGGACAGUGAUAUAAACCAUUCUGCUUUUGUUUGGGGAGCAUUUGUUUUAGCCGGAGUUGCUGUCAUUGCUGCCGCUGUGGGUUACAGGCGUAGGAAUAAGUACGAAGAUGGAUACCAACCAAUUAUGAUCUGAACUAGUUCUUAUGAGGCUUAGCCAUGUGUAUUAGACAGAAAUUAUGUUAGCUCUGUACCAUAUGUUAUUGAAACUCUCGUUUCCCUUUGCUAGACGAGUGUGAAUAAACCCGGGCGACUCACAGUCUGCUGUGGACCAAUGUGGGUUAUGGUCUAGCCCAAUAUUAAUGCCAUUACUGUUGUUAGUAAUUGGAACUGUGUGAUUUAUGUGAUCCUUUGUUGGACUUAUAUGUCCAUUUCUUUCAUUUUCUCUACGACUCCUGUAGCUGGUUGUGUUCAACACUAUGUUGACAUUUGUAAGGGACCUGUCCUAAGUUGAGAAAAUUCAAAGCAUUAUUGGGUCGCUAUUUCCUGUGGCAGCUGCCAAGUUUGAGUAUCUUCGCCUUAGAGGAACCACAUAUGUUACUUUUUUUUUUUUAAAUUUAUUUCAUGUUUUUAAUCUGCAAGUGUGCUAUUUAAUAAUAAGUUAUUUUUAUAUUUUGAACCAAAAAGAAGCGUCAACGAACACCGAAAGAAUUUAUUUAUUUAUUUCUUUAUUUUUAAAGGACGGUAGGUGCUUUGUGUAGUGUGAAUCGUGAUCGCGUUAUCUCGUUAUCCGGUUAUCCUGUCUACCCAGUCCCAUUCGCCGAUAAAAUCGAUCAAACCCCCACGAUCUGCACGUGCCAAUUCCCUGUUCGGUAAUUUCACCAAAAUCAUUGGGCCUUUUCUAUUUUGUCAAAAG